UACGAAGGGGGCUAGCGUUGUUCGGAAUUACUGGGCGUAAAGCGUGCGCAGGCGGCUUCUCAAGUCAGGGGUGAAAGCCCAGAGCUCAACUCUGGAAUUGCCUUUGAGACUGAGUGGCUUGAGUAUGGGAGAGGUGAGUGGAAUUCCUGGUGUAGCGGUGAAAUGCGUAGAUAUCAGGAGGAACACCUGUGGCGAAAGCGGCUCACUGGACCAUAACUGACGCUGAUGCACGAAAGCUAGGGGAGCAAACAGG
This 253-nucleotide ribosomal RNA is filed under the name uncultured bacterium. RNAcentral's name for it is "partial 16S ribosomal RNA". It matches the Rfam family "Bacterial small subunit ribosomal RNA", at positions 524 to 776 of the family's 1533-position model. The record is from RNAcentral.